AUCCAGCUGACGAGGCCCAAAUAAGAUGAAACGCGUGUACUGGAU
Non-coding RNA from Schistosoma mansoni, 45 nucleotides. The record is from Rfam. NCBI's taxonomy places the organism in Eukaryota, Metazoa, Platyhelminthes, Trematoda, Strigeidida, Schistosomatidae.